RNAcentral lists this ribosomal RNA (2602 nucleotides) under Paenibacillus polymyxa SC2. Its description in RNAcentral is "bacterial LSU rRNA". The stretch from base 1147 to 2602 matches the Rfam family "Bacterial large subunit ribosomal RNA". The record is from RNAcentral. Lineage: Bacteria; Bacillati; Bacillota; Bacilli; Caryophanales; Paenibacillaceae.
AGCAGUGCGAGAAGGGCGAAUCAUUGACGCUUAUCAAAGUGUCCUGAAGGCACUGGAUCAUUGGGCGUCUAUUGAACUCAUUGAACGUGGGAUUUAUCCAAAGGUUCACUUAUGGGUUCAGGUGCAGCCGCUGGAUCGAACAAUUGAGAAGCUGUAUAACGAGCUCACAUUAAGUACGGAGACUCUGGAGCAACGGGUUGAACUGGUACUGCUUGCUUGUGAAUUUUCAGUCAUGUCAAAAAUGGAGGACUGCUCCUCUCCGCUAUUCCGUAUAUUAGGCAGCAGACGGGAACCUUGGUCUAUAGAUGAACUUAUGAAUCAUCCUGAGUUAAAAAAUCUACAAUUAGAUCUUACCGUCGUGCUCCGUAAACUGGUUUAUCGUUCACUUAUUAGAGAAUCAGCCAUCGGUGAAUUUAGGGAUCGCGGACAAAAUCGUGAACUGCGCUACUCCCUUCUUUGAUGAGCGGAGGUUAAUUAAUCAGGAAGAAAGGUCGAUAAACGAUCUAUUCUUCCUUUUUUCUUGCGCGAUUUAGAAUUUACAGGAAAUGAAAAUAAACAAAUGAUUAUUUUAGCUUGACGAGUAUGUAAAAUAUGUGCUAAGUUAUAACUCGCCCCAUUAAGCAACAUGAAUAAUUUAGAACUGUCUAAAGCAGGAUAAAAGGUGUUGCAUCAAGCAAGAAAAUAAAUUUUAAAAAAAUGCUUGACGAAAAAUGAGGUUGUGUGUUACAUUAUUUAAGUCGCCGCUGAGACGCGGUGGUGAAACAAAGUAAGAAAGAAUGAAGUUUGAUCUUUGAAAACUGAACAACGAGUGAGUAAACUGAUUUUGUUCGCAAAAUCAAGAAUGAGAUAUUUUAUCUCGUCAGUUUCAACAUGAGCUAAUCGCUCUUUCUAUAACCAACUUCGGUUGGUCUUUAAUGGAGAGUUUGAUCCUGGCUCAGGACGAACGCUGGCGGCGUGCCUAAUACAUGCAAGUCGAGCGGGGUUAUUUAGAAGCUUGCUUCUAAAUAACCCAGCGGCGGACGGGUGAGUAACACGUAGGCAACCUGCCCACAAGACAGGGAUAACUACCGGAAACGGUAGCUAAUACCCGAUACAUCCUUUUCCUGCAUGGGAGAAGGAGGAAAGACGGAGCAAUCUGUCACUUGUGGAUGGGCCUGCGGCGCAUUAGCUAGUUGGUGGGGUAAAGGCCUACCAAGGCGACGAUGCGUAGCCGACCUGAGAGGGUGAUCGGCCACACUGGGACUGAGACACGGCCCAGACUCCUACGGGAGGCAGCAGUAGGGAAUCUUCCGCAAUGGGCGAAAGCCUGACGGAGCAACGUGCCCGUACCGCAAACCGACACAGGUAGGCGAGAAGAGAAUUCUAAGGCGCGCGGAAGAACUCUCGUUAAGGAACUCGGCAAAAUGACCCCGUAACUUCGGGAGAAGGGGUGCCUCGGUAGGGUGAAUAGCCCGAGGGGGCCGCAGUGAAAAGGCCCAAGCGACUGUUUAGCAAAAACACAGGUCUGUGCGAAGCCGCAAGGCGAAGUAUACGGGCUGACGCCUGCCCGGUGCUGGAAGGUUAAGGGGAGUGGUAAGCCUUCGGGCGAAGCUAUGAACCGAAGCCCCAGUAAACGGCGGCCGUAACUAUAACGGUCCUAAGGUAGCGAAAUUCCUUGUCAGGUAAAUUCUGACCCGCACGAAUGGCGUAACGACUUGGGCGCUGUCUCAACGAGAGAUCCGGUGAAAUUUUAAUACCUGUGAAGAUGCAGGUUACCCGCGACAAGACGGAAAGACCCCAUGGAGCUUUACUGCAGCUUGAUAUUGAAUUUGGGUACGAUCUGUACAGGAUAGGUGGGAGCCGUAGAACUUUGAGCGCCAGCUUGAAGGGAGGCAUCCUUGGGAUACCACCCUGAUCGUAUCUAGGUUCUAACUUGGUACCGUGAUCCGGUACGAGGACAGUGUCAGGUGGGCAGUUUGACUGGGGCGGUCGCCUCCUAAAGAGUAACGGAGGCGCCCCAAGGUUCCCUCAGAAUGGUUGGAAAUCAUUCGAAGAGUGCAAAGGCAGAAGGGAGCUUGACUGCGAGACCUACAAGUCGAGCAGGGACGAAAGUCGGGCUUAGUGAUCCGGUGGUACCGCAUGGAAGGGCCAUCGCUCAACGGAUAAAAGCUACCCUGGGGAUAACAGGCUUAUCUCCCCCAAGAGUCCACAUCGACGGGGAGGUUUGGCACCUCGAUGUCGGCUCAUCGCAUCCUGGGGCUGAAGUAGGUCCCAAGGGUUGGGCUGUUCGCCCAUUAAAGCGGUACGCGAGCUGGGUUCAGAACGUCGUGAGACAGUUCGGUCCCUAUCUGUCGUGGGCGUAGGAAAUUUGAGAGGAGCUGUCCUUAGUACGAGAGGACCGGGAUGGACGUACCGCUGGUGUACCAGUUGUUCCGCCAGGAGCACCGCUGGGUAGCUAUGUACGGAAGGGAUAAGCGCUGAAAGCAUCUAAGCGUGAAGCCCCCCUCAAGAUGAGAUUUCCCAGUAUGUAAGACCCCUUGAAGACGACGAGGUAGAUAGGUUGGGGGUGGAAGUGCAGUAAUGCAUGGAGCUGACCAAUACUAAUCGGUCGAGGGCUUAUCCU